AAUCUACCCGCUCUGUCCUGAAUUACUUGUCGCAAAAAUAGAUAAAAUUAAAUGUAUUUAGAACUAAAAUACGUCUAGAUAUAUCCAUUUCCACGACAAGUAAUUCUGGACGGAGCAGUAUAUU
This is a non-coding RNA of Triticum aestivum (bread wheat), 124 nucleotides long. NCBI's taxonomy places the organism in Eukaryota, Viridiplantae, Streptophyta, Magnoliopsida, Poales, Poaceae. The record is from Rfam.